AGAACGAACGCUGGCGGCAUGCCUAAUACAUGCAAGUCGAACGAACACUUCGGUGUUAGUGGCGCACGGGUGCGUAACGCGUGGGAAUCUGCCCUUGGGUUCGGAAUAACAGUUGGAAACGACUGCUAAUACCGGAUGAUAUCGAAAGAUCAAAGAUUUAUCGCCCAGGGAUGAGCCCGCGUAGGAUUAGCUAGUUGGUGAGGUAAAGGCUCACCAAGGCGACGAUCCUUAGCUGGUCUGAGAGGAUGAUCAGCCACACUGGGACUGAGACACGGCCCAGACUCCUACGGGAGGCAGCAGUAGGGAAUAUUGGACAAUGGGCGCAAGCCUGAUCCAGCAAUGCCGCGUGAGUGAUGAAGGCCUUAGGGUGUAAAGCUCUUUUACCCGAGAUGAUAAUGACAGUAUCGGAGAAUAAGCCCCGGCUAACUACCGUGACCAGCCAGCCGAC
RNAcentral lists this ribosomal RNA (448 nucleotides) under uncultured soil bacterium. RNAcentral's name for it is "bacterial SSU rRNA". It matches the Rfam family "Bacterial small subunit ribosomal RNA", at positions 26 to 518 of the family's 1533-position model. The record is from RNAcentral.